AUACGGAGAGUGCAAGCGUUGUUCGGAAUUACUGGGCGUAAAGCGCGCGUAGGUGGUCUGUUAUGUCAGAUGUGAAAGUCCUCGGCUCAACCAGGGAAGUGCAUUUGAAACUGGCAGACUUGAGUACUGGAGGGGGUGGUGGAAUUCCCGGUGUAGAGGUGAAAUUCGUAGAUAUCGGGAGGAAUACCGGUGGCGAAGGCGACCACCUGGCCAGAUACUGACGCUGAGGUGCGAAAGCGUGGGGAGCAAACAGGAUUAGAAACCCCAGUAGUCC
RNAcentral lists this ribosomal RNA (274 nucleotides) under uncultured bacterium. RNAcentral's name for it is "partial 16S ribosomal RNA". It matches the Rfam family "Bacterial small subunit ribosomal RNA", at positions 523 to 796 of the family's 1533-position model. The record is from RNAcentral.